RNAcentral lists this ribosomal RNA (497 nucleotides) under uncultured bacterium. RNAcentral describes it as "partial 16S ribosomal RNA". It matches the Rfam family "Bacterial small subunit ribosomal RNA", at positions 28 to 507 of the family's 1533-position model. The record is from RNAcentral.
GAUGAACGCUGGCGGCGUGCCUAAUACAUGCAAGUCGAGCGAACAGAUGAGGAGCUUUUUCCUUUGACGGUAGCGGCGGACGGGUGAGUAACACGUGGAUAACCUACGUCUAUGACGUGGAUAACUUCGGGAAACCGCAUCUAAUACUGCACAAUACAUUGAACGGGAUUAUUCAAUAGUUAAUCACGGCUUUGCCGUCACUUAUAGACGGAUCCGCGUCGCAUUUGUUAGUUGGUAAGGUAACGGCUUAGCAAGGCUACGAUGCGUAGCCGACCGGAGAGGAUGAUCAGCCACACUGGAACUGAGACACGGUCCAGACUCCUACGGGAGGCAGCAGUAGGGAAUCUUCGACAAUGGGCGAAAGCUUGACGGAGCAACGCCGCGUGAGUGAGGAAGGUCUUCGGGUCGUAAAACCCUUUUAUUGGGGAAGAACAUCGGUGGAGGUAACUACGCACGUCUUGACGGUACCGAACCAGAAAGCCCCGGCUAACUUCGUG